GCGAACAGACUGACCUGGCACGGUGGUCUGCUCCCUGCCAAGCUCUGUCUGCGGGGCACCAGUGACUGCCACAUGCACAGGUGCUGUCUCCAGUGCUUCCAGAUUAUGGAAGUGUUACCUGGAAAAGUUCCUAUCCCUAAGGUGAGCAAGUCCCUGACCGUAGCCAGGAGCCAGCCUGGAGGAUCAUUCAAGAGUUUCCUCUGAAUAAGAAAAUUUUACUUUCUUGAGGUAGCAUGGAGCUGAAUAUGAGGCAGUCAAGGAUACUUCAUAUAUAUUGGUGGUCUGAUACUACAUAAAAUCAACCUCUGGCGAGGACAGGGAAAGCAAGAGUUUAGGAAAAACCUCCUGGCCAGGAACUGCUGUGGGAAUCCACUCCCAGAUCUGAUUAAAUCAGGGGGUUGAGGAUGACUUUCU
Long non-coding RNA from Neopsephotus bourkii (Bourke's parrot), 414 nucleotides. RefSeq lists it as uncharacterized. The record is from RefSeq and is a predicted model, not a curated record. NCBI's taxonomy places the organism in Eukaryota, Metazoa, Chordata, Aves, Psittaciformes, Psittacidae. The transcript has 3 exons.